Molecule: ribosomal RNA, 492 nt
Filed under: uncultured bacterium
Lineage: Bacteria
Description: partial 16S ribosomal RNA
Rfam family: Bacterial small subunit ribosomal RNA
Source: RNAcentral
AGUGAACGCUGGCGGUAGGCCUAACACAUGCAAGUCGAACGGCAGCCCAGUAAGAGCUUGCUCUUACGGGUGGCGAGUGGCGGACGGGUGAUGAAUACAUCGGAAUCUACUUUUUCGUGGGGGAUAACUAAGGGAAACUUACGCUAAUACCGCAUACGACCUACGGGUGAAAUCAGGGGAUCUUCUGACCUUGCGCGAUUGAAUGAGCCGAUGUCGGCUUAGCUAGUUGGCGGGGUAAAGGCCCACCAAGGCGACGAUCCGUAGCUGGUCUGAGAGGAUGAACAGCCACCCUGGAACUGAGACACGGUCCAGACUCCUACGGGAGGCAGCAGUGGGGAAUAUUGGGCAAGGGGCGCAAGACUGAUCCAGCGAUACCGCGUGAGUGAAGAAGGCCUUCGGGUUGGAAAGCCAUUUUGUUGGGAAAGAAAAGCAGCAGGUUAAUACCGCGCGGAUCUGACGGUACCCAAAGAAUAAGCACCGGCUAACUUCGUG